CCUACGGGUGGCAGCAGUGAGGAAUAUUGGUCAAUGGCCGGAAGGCUGAACCAGCCAUGCCGCGUGAAGGUCAGUGCCCUAUGGGCGUUAAACUUCUUUUGUGCGGGAGCAAUAAUGGUCACGUGUGGCCAGACGAGAGUACCGUACGAAUAAGCAUCGGCUAACUCCGUGCCAGCAGCCGCGGUAAUACGGGGGAUGCAAGCGUUAUCCGGAUUUAUUGGGUUUAAAGGGUGCGUAGGCUGUGAGGUAAGUCAGCGGUGAAAUGCCCCCGCUCAACGGGGUGAAGUGCCAUUGAUACUGCCUGGCUGGAAUGCGGAUGCGGUGGGAGGAAUGUGUGGUGUAGCGGUGAAAUGCAGAGAUAUCACACAGAACACCGAUUGCGAAGGCAUCUCACGAAUCCGCGAUUGACGCUGAUGCACGAAAGCGUGGGUAUCAAACAGGAUUAGAUACCCGAGUAGUC
Molecule: ribosomal RNA, 460 nt
Filed under: uncultured bacterium
Lineage: Bacteria
Description: partial 16S ribosomal RNA
Rfam family: Bacterial small subunit ribosomal RNA
Source: RNAcentral